GGGAUAAGAAUGAAAGAGUCAUUAUUUAUAACCAGUGAGGAGACUCACUGCACUGAUGUCUGUUAUUUUUUAUACGCCACUAGAAAUAACGAAAAGAACAAUGUGAAGAACUUUACUGCUGUUUCGAUACAGAGAGUGCAACGGAGGUUAGUGGUAAGUUCGUUCCCAAACUAAAUUGAGAUGUGGAGAAUCCCUGGACCAAGC
Molecule: non-coding RNA, 204 nt
Organism: Caenorhabditis elegans
Lineage: Eukaryota; Metazoa; Nematoda; Chromadorea; Rhabditida; Rhabditidae
Source: Ensembl